AAGUCGUAACAAGGUCUCCGUAGGUGAACCUGCGGAGGGAUCAUUACUGAAUGGCCUCUCGGGGCCUUCAACCCUUCAAACCUGUGGAAGCAAACUCCGUGCUUCGGCGCCUUGUGCGCCGCUUUUAUGCAGAAGGCUUUGUGUCUGAAUCAUAAACAAGAAUUAAAACUUUCAACAAAGGAUCUCUUAGCUCUCGCAUCGAUGAAGAACGCAGCGAAGCGCGAAAUGUAGUGUGAAUCGCAGAACAUUGUGAAUCAUCGAAUCUUUGAACGCACAUUGCGCCUCUCGUAACAGAGAGGCAUGCCUGUCUGAGCGUCAUUUAAACCAUAAACCCGUCAGGGUUUGUCUUGGGUCGGUUCGCCCGCAAGGGCGUGGCCUCGAAGCGAUUGGUCUAACGAGCGGACGAGUUCCAUUAGGACGCACCGUUUUCAAGACUUGAAACACAUCAGACUUGACCUCAGAUCAGGUAGGGACACCGCCUGAACUUAAGCAUAUCAAUAAGGCGAGGAACAGAAACCAACAGGGAUUCCCUCAGUAGUGGCGAAUGAAGCGGGAAAAGCUCAAGUUUGAAAUCCAAGGUUUUCCCUUGGAGUUGUAAGCUGAAGAGGCAUCGACCGACGUGGUCCGGGCCCAAUUUCCUUGGAACAGGAGGUCAUGGAGGGUGAGAACCCCGUCCGUGGCUCGGGUGCCUAGUCUUUGUGUCGUGCCCUCGCAGAGUCGGGUUGUUUGGGAAUGCAGCUCAAAAUGGGUGGUAAAUUUCAUCUAAAGCUAAAUAUUGGCGAGAGACCGAUAGCAAACAAGUAGAGUGAUCGAAAGAUGAAAAGUACUUUGAAAAGAGAGUGAAACAGUACGUGAAAUUGUUGAAAGGGAAGCGUUUGGCAUCAGCCCAUGGCGCCCGUCGAUCACCCGAGCUUCUGUUCGGUGCACUUGACGGGUGUCGGGCCAGCGUCGGCUUCGUCCGUCGGAGAAAGGCAUCGGGAACGUGUCACCCCUCGGGGUGCGUUAUAGCCCUUUGCGUCAUGCGGCGUGACGGGGCCGAGGUCCGCGGUUUAUCCUAGGACGCUGGCGUAAUGGUUCCAAGCGACC
This 1086-nucleotide ribosomal RNA is filed under the name uncultured fungus. RNAcentral describes it as "eukaryotic LSU rRNA". The stretch from base 453 to 1086 matches the Rfam family "Eukaryotic large subunit ribosomal RNA", at positions 1 to 649 of the family's 3401-position model. Lineage: Eukaryota; Fungi. The record is from RNAcentral.